Molecule: long non-coding RNA, 2241 nt
Organism: Bubalus bubalis (water buffalo)
Lineage: Eukaryota; Metazoa; Chordata; Mammalia; Artiodactyla; Bovidae
Exons: 3
Source: RefSeq, a predicted model, not a curated record
CGCAACAGGACCCCAGGAUGCCCCGGAUUCCGAGGAGAGGCUCUGGCUGCUGCCCAGCAGGAGAAGGGCACCCUCUGCGCGCCCCCAGCUACCUGGCUGCUCUGCGGCGUGUGCACUGGGAGAGUCGCUCUGCUCCAGGCACUAUCUUUGGCUUUUUCUCUAAGAGGUCCAUGCAGUGAAAAAUUGAAUCAGUUUCUCAGAUAAUUCAAAUCAAAAGGGUUGGAUCUGGUUGAUGACCCCUCGCUUUGAAUCUGAUUGGGCUUGUGUCUUCUUCAGUCAAUAUAACACAGUGAAAGUGCUGUUAUGUGACUUCUGAGCUUAGGUCAUAAAAGGUCAAAUUGCUUUAUUUUGUUCAUUGCAACUGUCUUACUUUGAGUCCUGAGCCACCGUGUAAGAAGUUUGUGGCCUAAAGACCACAAUGUGAGGAACCUCAAGCCGCAUGAAGAAGCCAGGAGUAGGUUCUCUGGUUGAUGGCCUCAAUUGAGCCCAGCUUUCAAGUCAACCCAGCCCAGGAACCAGACAUAUGAGAUAAUGUUUCAGAUAAUUCCAGCCCUGAAGUAUUUGAAUCAUCUCAGCUGUUUGAGAUUUUUCAGCUGAGCUCUCAGGCUUUGUGGAGCAGAGAUAGCAUUUAUGAGCAUAACAAAAUGCUAUUCAUCUCUGAGUAUAUACUUCAUAGAUUUUAGGUGCAAUGCUUAGUGUUUGGACAUUUACAAAGAAUAGUAUUUGAUCACAGCCAGUUCUUAGAAUUGUAGAGUGUAACAUACCACUGCAAAGGACCCUAGAGAUCUUUCAGUCAAACCCUUCAUGUAUAGAUGAUAAUAGGGAGGCCCAGAGAGAGACUGACUUGCCCAAAGUUAAUCACAGUUAGUGACUUUCCCAUUUGAAUCUAGCCAGUCACAGGAAUAUAUGAAAUCUAUACAAAAGAGAAGAGAGGGAGUUCCUUGGUGGUCCAGUGGCUAAGACACCAUGCUCCUAAUGCACGGAGGCCUGGGUUUGAUCCCUGGUCAGGGAACUAGAUACGACAAGCUGCAACUAAAGAUCCAUGUGUCACAACUAAGACCUGAUGCAGUCAAAUAAAUAAUUUUUUUAAGAGAAUAAAAAAUAUAGCAAUAUGUAUCCAUCAAGCAAUAGGACAGCAAGUAUUUGUUGAUGAUUCAAUCAUUUUUUAGGCACAGGGUUCAGGACUAAAUAUCAGUCACAUUUCUUUAGGAUAUGACUCAGUUUUCCCUAGAUCCAGCCUUUGGCUGCCAAUCCUUAUUCUUUAUAACAGCCUCUUUAAUAAAAUCUGCGUGAAGAGUGGUAGCUCCUUCUUUUAUUGACUAUUCUUUUUCUUUCUUUCUUUUUUUCUUUAACUGAUUACAAAAUCAGUCAAACCACCUCUCCCUGUAAGUAACCUUCUUAAUCAAAAGAGAGAAGCUCAAAUAGGAUUCUGUCAAGUGACUGAGAAUUUAAUUGAAUUUGCGUCAUAAGGUUUUCAUGAAACUUUCUCCAAGUUCCUAGUCAAGAGAGCUAUAAGAAUUUGAAUGGAAGGUUUAGAUUUUUUUAGAUGGGAUGGAGAAAAUAAUGUUUAGUUCAAAAUAUAAUAACACAUUCUGAAGAGAAGAUAGCUAUUUGGGGAAGUUAUGUGCAAUCAAAAUCCCUUGGACUGUGAAAGGUCACCUAUUAAAAUGGUUAAACAUUUUAGUGACCAUGUUUCUCCUUGGAUUUGGCCUUUCCUUCUACACUAUCUUGUCACUGAUAUACAGGCUUGACAUUUGAACAGAAGCUAUUAAAUGGAGUGGGAAAAGACCAGUAUAUUCUUUAAAAAUUCUCCUGUUUAUUUAUUUAUAUUUUAAAAAUACAAACUCCUUAUCUAGCCUAUUAUUUUAUGUUUCUAUUUUUAAUUUUUAAUAUAGGGUUUUACUGGAGAGUUCUGCCUUGAUUCCCUUCUCAGCUUUGGCUGAACAAAAUACUAAUAUUUAACUUUUCUGAAAGGGCUUAAAGUGUACUUUCAAUGGAAUACUCUUAUUUUUACCCUGUGUGUGCUAUUUUUAUAAUAAAAUGGACCACUGAAAAGCUUUAAAAUGUAAUAUAAAUUUGUUUUGUUGCCAGGCAUUCUAGGUAAAUGACAAUCUUAUGAAAAAUGAGACCUCUCUAAUUUUAAGUGUCUAUAUGCUAAACUAUAUUUAUGUAGUCUACUAGAUAUAUAUCAAUACUAUUUGGGUGAGGAAGGAAAUAUGGUCUAAAUAAAAGACAGUGAGU